CCUACGGGAGGCAGCAGUAGGGAAUAUUGGGCAAUGGAGGCAACUCUGACCCAGCCAUGCCGCGUGAACGAAGAAGGCGCUAUGCGUCGUAAAGUUCUUUUAGAGGGGGCGAAAACACUUGAUUCAUCAAGUACUGACGGUACCUUCGGAAUAAGCACCGGCUAACUCUGUGCCAGCAGCCGCGGUAAUACAGAGGGUGCAAGCGUUAUCCGGAAUCACUGGGUUUAAAGGGUGCGUAGGCGGGAUUAUAAGUCAGAGGUGAAAUCUCGUCGCUUAACGACGGAAUUGCCUUUGAUACUGUUUUUCUUGAAAUUUGUUGAGGUUGGCGGAAUGAGACAUGUAGCGGUGAAAUGCUUAGAUAUGUCUUAGAACACCGAUUGCGAAGGCAGCUGACUGGACAAUAUUUGACGCUGAGGCACGAAAGCGUGGGGAUCAAACAGGAUUAGAUACCCUGGUAGUCCACGCCCUAAACGAUGUUUACUUGCUGUUUGUCUUUCGGGAUGGGUGGCGAAGCGAAAGCGAUAAGUAAACCACCUGGGGAGUACGCCGCAAGGGUGAAACUCAAAGGAAUUGACGGNUGNGAGNGCGAGCGACGACGAGGAGAGG
This 606-nucleotide ribosomal RNA is filed under the name uncultured bacterium. RNAcentral's name for it is "bacterial SSU rRNA". It matches the Rfam family "Bacterial small subunit ribosomal RNA", at positions 338 to 945 of the family's 1533-position model. The record is from RNAcentral.